RNAcentral lists this ribosomal RNA (254 nucleotides) under uncultured bacterium. Its description in RNAcentral is "partial 16S ribosomal RNA". It matches the Rfam family "Bacterial small subunit ribosomal RNA", at positions 524 to 776 of the family's 1533-position model. The record is from RNAcentral.
UACAGAGGUGGCAAGCGUUGUUCGGAAUUACUGGGCGUAAAGGGCGCGUAGGCGGUCUUCUAAGUCCUGUGUGAAAUCCCUCGGCUCAACUGAGGAACUGCACGGGAUACUGGAAGACUUGAGUUCGGGAGAGGGAAGCGGAAUUCCGGGUGUAGCGGUGAAAUGCGUAGAUAUCCGGAGGAACACCGGUGGCGAAGGCGGCUUCCUGGACCGAUUACUGACGCUGAGGCGCGAAAGCCAGGGGAGCAAACAGG